Long non-coding RNA from Fundulus heteroclitus (mummichog), 199 nucleotides. RefSeq lists it as uncharacterized. The record is from RefSeq and is a predicted model, not a curated record. The transcript is spliced from 3 exons. NCBI's taxonomy places the organism in Eukaryota, Metazoa, Chordata, Actinopteri, Cyprinodontiformes, Fundulidae.
UCUUCACAACUCGGAGACAAAUUGCAGGCGCUAUGAACCGGCGCAAGGACUAAGCACGCCUCAUAAUGAGGCAGUUACCUCCUAUCUGCUCGGAGCAAUAACUGCAAGCCUCGAUUUACACUAUAUUGAUAAAGACGACAUUGUGUCCGCCUGUAAGACGUAUUACGAGACGGUACGCAGGAGCUUCAGAUAUACGCAG